Non-coding RNA from Camellia sinensis, 555 nucleotides. The record is from RefSeq and is a predicted model, not a curated record. Lineage: Eukaryota; Viridiplantae; Streptophyta; Magnoliopsida; Ericales; Theaceae.
AUUUCCCGCCUUUAUUAAUUGAAACCUUUAUGUGUUAUAUUUUAUGAAUAGAAGUGAAAGCAAGUUGAAUUUUUUUAUCCCAAGUGUAACAGGUCACCAUUUCUACCCGUGGAGUUAAUUCAAUUGAUGAUUGAAACUUACAUAUCAACUGUAAUGCUCAGAGAAUCUCAGAUUUAUAGUUAUGUGUUUUCUACCUGAAGUCCUGAAUGUAAUGAUCCUGAUUAAAUCAUAAAAGAUAUACUUACAGGCUGGGGCAUAGAUUGUUCAAUGGUACAUACAUUUGGAGUCUACAUUACCAAUUUAGGGCGUCUUCUUAUCCUGGUCAAAACUCUCCACAACGUGUAGUGAUCUUUGGAGAUAUGGGAAAGGAUGAGGCUGAUGGCUCUAAUGAAUAUAAUAAUUUCCAGCAUGGCUCUCUUAACACUACUAAGCAACUCAUUAGAGACUUGGAGAACAUAGAUAUAGUGUUUCACAUUGGAGAUAUUUGCUAUGCAAAUGGCUAUCUUUCGCAGUGGGAUCAAUUUAUUGCACAAAUUGAGCCAAUUGCCUCAACUG